This 433-nucleotide ribosomal RNA is filed under the name uncultured bacterium. Its description in RNAcentral is "partial 16S ribosomal RNA". It matches the Rfam family "Bacterial small subunit ribosomal RNA", at positions 29 to 507 of the family's 1533-position model. The record is from RNAcentral.
AACGAACGCUGGCGGCAUGCCUAACACAUGCACGUCGAACGAGACCUUCGGGUCUAGUGGCGCACGGGUGCGUAACGCGUGGGAACCUGCCCUUAGGUUCGGAAUAACUCCCCGAAAGGGGUGCUAAUACCGGAUAAUGUCUUCGGACCAAAGAUUUAUCGCCUUUGGAUGGGCCCGCGUUGGAUUAGCUAGUUGGUAGGGUAAAAGCCUACCAAGGCGACGAUCCAUAGCUGGUCUGAGAGGAUGAUCAGCCACACUGGGACUGAGACACGGCCCAGACUCCUACGGGAGGCAGCAGUGGGGAAUAUUGGACAAUGGGCGAAAGCCUGAUCCAGCAAUGCCGCGUGAGUGAUGAAGGCCUUAGGGUUGUAAAGCUCUUUUACCCGGGAUGAUAAUGACAGUACCGGGAGAAUAAGCUCCGGCUAACUCCGUG